This 490-nucleotide ribosomal RNA is filed under the name uncultured Helotiales. Its description in RNAcentral is "eukaryotic LSU rRNA". The stretch from base 142 to 295 matches the Rfam family "5.8S ribosomal RNA". The record is from RNAcentral. Lineage: Eukaryota; Fungi; Ascomycota; Leotiomycetes; Helotiales.
GGGUAGAUCUCCCACCCUUGAAUAUUUAUACCUUAGUUGCUUUGGCAGGCCGUGGAAACACCAUGGGCUCCGGCUUAUGCGUGCCUGCCAGAGGAAACAAACUCUGUUUUUAGUGAUGUCUGAGUACUAUAUAAUAGUUAAAACUUUCAACAACGGAUCUCUUGGUUCUGGCAUCGACGAAGAACGCAGCGAAAUGCGACAAGUAAUGUGAAUUGCAGAAUUCAGUGAAUCAUCGAAUCUUUGAACGCACAUUGCGCCCUGUGGUAUUCCGCAGGGCAUGCCUGUUCGAGCGUCAUUUAACCACUCACGCCUAGCGUGGUAUUGGGGCACCCGGUCUCCGCGGCCCUCAAAAUUAGUGGCGGCGCCGGUGGGCUCUAAGCGUAGUAAUUCUCUCGCUAUAGAGUCCCGGCGGCUACCUGCCAGAACCCCCCCUCUUUUAAGGUUGACCUCGGAUCAGGUAGGGAUACCCGCUGAACUUAAGCAUAUCAAU